UUGGAGAUCCCUGUCUAUCUGAAGCCUUCCAAAGCAAUCUUUUAGAUUCUGUGGAGAUGAUGAAGAUUUAGCGAUCUCCAUUAUUAGAAGAAAAUCUAUGAAGUAAUUUGUGUGCAUUGCUGACCAUCACAUGAAACGCCUUCCAAUAACAUGUUUAUGGUUCAGGAAGAAUUCUAUGUAGCUACAAGAAAGGACUUCAAGAAACUGUUGCUUUUGCAUUGAAUUUGUACCUAAGUGGCUCAUGUUUUUAGCUACCUAGAUCUGUGGUACAGAUACUAUAAACAUGCAGCCAUCUUUCUCAUAGGUUUCUAGUCUAUACCAUUCAUUUUCUGCUGGACUCCCAGAAGUAGGAACUGUGAGUAGGAAGGCUGUAGCAGCAUCCUCUCACUUCCGCAGCUGUUCCAAUGCUCCAACUAAAUGCUAAGUUGGUGAAGUAUGAACUGUAGUCUAAUAAACUAGUUACCUAUCAAAGCAUAUGAACUUCUACCAGCUUUCUGAAGAAGCAUGUAAACUUCCACAGGGACAAUUUAAAUUCAUUGUUAUAGCUUAAGUUAAAUUAACCAAUUCUAUUUACAGUAAAGGACUGGGUAAACAGUGCACACAAAGUUUGAGUUGUCUGUAUUUCACUGGUACUAAGGAGGCAAU
RNAcentral lists this long non-coding RNA (645 nucleotides) under Gallus gallus (chicken). RNAcentral's name for it is "lncRNA (ENSGALG00010026872.1)". Lineage: Eukaryota; Metazoa; Chordata; Aves; Galliformes; Phasianidae. The record is from RNAcentral.